Carya illinoinensis is the source of this 2471-nucleotide long non-coding RNA. RefSeq lists it as uncharacterized. The transcript is spliced from 2 exons. The record is from RefSeq and is a predicted model, not a curated record. NCBI's taxonomy places the organism in Eukaryota, Viridiplantae, Streptophyta, Magnoliopsida, Fagales, Juglandaceae.
UCCACAUUAUGCCAUUCUGCCACCGACGUAAUUUCCCGGCCGUCUAUUUCACCAUCCUUUCCUUUUCACCUUUUUUCUCAAAGAUACGGAGCACCCAGAUCAUAGCUAGAUUCCAGUAUCUACUCCAUGCAUGCCUGCUCCCCAUGUGCGCAUCGGUGGUGAUCACUAAAUUAGGACUUUAAUAUAUAGCUGCGCGCCUGCAAGGCAAUACUAGUAACUGGAAAUUAAGUACGUACGUACGUAGGCUAUGCAGAUUUUUUUUUUUUUUUAGGUAAUUAGUUACAUAAGAUUCCUUCGUUUGCAAGAAAAAGAUAAAGCCUGGGAGUGCUCAAGGCCACUCAUCUUGAUACUCUAACUCCUAGCUAAUUCCCUGCAUCUUAUCAAGAAUUCUGACCAGGUUCAGCUUGAGAUACGUGGAUAUCUCUAGUCUUUAACCAGUAGACUGUAGUAUAAAUGGUAGGCUUUCGGUGUAGAAACCUGCAGAUCGAAAGAGUAAGCUGCAGUAAGCGUCAGCUGUCCCCUGGAGUUCCCUUGACCACUUCAUUGGGGCUGAUCUUCUGAGUCGACCCUUAAGUUCCACUGAAGUGUUUGGGGGAACUCUUGGAGGCAACUGACAAUUGAACAAAUCCUCAUCAUGCUUUAGAUUAGGUUAAGAAUCUUAAUCCUAGGAUUAAGAUUCUUAAUGAGAGUCUAGUACUUCUAUAUAUCCAUGUUCCCUUAACUAGUUUAGGUUAAGAAGUAUUUAAGGAUUCCAAAAUCCUAGGGUUAAGAUUCUUUAUAUAUAAUUAUUUGUUCAAUUUUUUUUCUUUAUUAGAAAGAUAUAGAAAACCGGAUGAGAGCUAAUGACACGUCCGGGGUUUUUACUCGGAUCAUGCGGUGUUUUCCUGAUUUUAGGGGUAGUAAUCAUUUUGCUUUUUCGAGUUUAAAUUAACCAAGGAUUUCUCAUUUUUCUCACUUUGUAGGUCGACCAAGGGAUUUGGUGCAGAUGGUAAGGUUCGAACACCUUUCGUUCCUUAACUUGGCGCAGAAUGUAGUAUGUUUAAUCUGGUCAUAUAUAUGUGAGCUCUUUGCCUUCAUUUUUCUGAAUUUCCUUCAAGAAAAUUUUAUUUUUAGCAAGCACAUAGAUUGAGGAUAUAAUUUUGUUAUUAGUCUGUGCGUUAAACAGUGAUAAAGCGUUGGUCCAGUGGUCGUAAUGGCGGUGCUCCUUGGUGGACAUACUGGAGUGCUGGCAUUACAGGUACAAUUGGUCCAGCUAUGGGAAUCGAAGCAUUAAAGUAUAUCAGCUAUCCUGCCCAGGCAUGUCUCUAGUUAAUUCCACAUAAUUCGAUAGUUUCCUCAUUUUGGGAGGGUGGAGGUGUUGUUAUAAUACAGGGAGCUCUAGCAGUGGUCUCCAAGAUUCACUCUUGACUUUUUUUGAGAGAUUUUUCUAGUCGGAUACUCUGAAUCCAUCAGCAGUGUCAAAGCUAAGGGGACUGAGUUUGGCCCUGUUGCUGCCCCAAAAAUUUGCCGUACCUCCCAUAAAUUCUGAAAAUGCAGCGGCUUAAACGACAACCUGCCCCUCCCCGACCCCCUUUUUCUCCCCCAAACUUUGGCAAGCGAAGUUAAUAAGAGCCAGCUUGUGACAGUGAAGAAACGAAUAGAGUUAGAUGCAGUCUAGCACUUGUUGUGGGAGCUCUGUGGGGGAGAAAGCAUUUUGUCAGUUACAACUUAGCACUUGUAGAGGGAGCUUCGUAGUUUAUCCUUAACUAACAUGUGUCGGUGAAUCAAAAGCUGAAAUGUGUCCCGUAUGCGACACGUCAGCAAAUAUUUUUAAAAAAUAUAAUAAAAAUUUUAAAUUGAUUUUAAAAUAUUAAAAAAUACUUAAUAAAUUCAAACUAUUUAAGGUAUCUUUUCCAACCUGCCAACCUUCUAAAAAUAGUGAAACGCAUUUUAAAAAUUUUGUUUAUAGCAAAUAUUGGAGUCUACUUGGAACCCACAAUUCUGAAUUCUGCAAUAAUGAAGGGUAGGCCUGAACUGUCUCUGGAACCAUCAAAAUGAUCUAUGUUCAGAGCUCAAAGCUCGACUAAUCUGGGCUCUGAAAUAAGAUUUUAUGGCUCCGCUACUGUCUGUAAGCUUCUUUUUCUCCUUUUUUGUGUCCAGUGCUAAAUGAAUGGAAGGCUAUCUCUUCUUUCAUAUUACUUGUCCUCUUGCAAAAUCCUCAAGAAUGAUUCCGGGUGAGAUACUUAAUUAGAAAUUACAGACUUAACUGAAAUAAGUGUGCUGUCUAUUAGGUGUGAUGGUAUCUUAUUUAAAAGCAUAAUUUCACGGUGGAUACAGUAUCCUAUAUGUCCCUCAAUCCUCUUGUAACACGUUAAAAAAAUGAUCGUUACCUUCUUGUUGUUCAUUCCUCUCUUGCUUGAUGCCAUCUCUUGGGUGAAAGGCGUGGAGGAUCCUGGAGCUGAGAAUUGAAAAUAGAAUUUGCUUAAUUUAUA